UGAACGCUGGCGGCGUGCCUAAUACAUGCAAGUCGAGCGAACGGACGAGAAGCUUGCUUCUCUGAUGUUAGCGGCGGUCGGGUGAGUAACACGUGGAUAACCUACCUAUAAGACUGGGAUAACUUCGGGAAACCGGAGCUAAUACCGGAUAAUAUUUUGAACCGCAUGGUUCAAAAGUAAAAGACGGUCUUGCUGUCACUUAUAGAUGGAUCCGCGCUGCAUUAGCUAGUUGGUAAGGUAACGGCUUACCAAGGCAACGAUGCAUAGCCGACCUGAGAGGGUGAUCGGCCACACUGGAACUGAGACACGGUCCAGACUCCUACGGGAGGCAGCAGUAGGGAAUCUUCCGCAAUGGGCGAAAGCCUGAUGGAGCAACGCCGCGUGAGUGAUGAAGGUCUUCGGAUCGUAAAACUCUGUUAUUAGGGAAGAACAUAUGUGUAAGUAACUGUGCACAUCUUGACGGUACCUAAUCAGAAAGCCACGGCUAACUACGUG
Molecule: ribosomal RNA, 495 nt
Filed under: uncultured bacterium
Lineage: Bacteria
Description: partial 16S ribosomal RNA
Rfam family: Bacterial small subunit ribosomal RNA
Source: RNAcentral